RNAcentral lists this ribosomal RNA (1725 nucleotides) under Enterobacter hormaechei. RNAcentral's name for it is "partial 23S ribosomal RNA". It matches the Rfam family "Bacterial large subunit ribosomal RNA", at positions 1 to 1767 of the family's 2925-position model. The record is from RNAcentral. Lineage: Bacteria; Pseudomonadati; Pseudomonadota; Gammaproteobacteria; Enterobacterales; Enterobacteriaceae. RNAcentral also lists the same sequence under 1 other name.
GGUUAAGCGACUAAGCGUACACGGUGGAUGCCCUGGCAGUCAGAGGCGAUGAAGGACGUGCUAAUCUGCGAAAAGCGCCGGCGAGGUGAUAUGAACCCUUGACCCGGCGAUGUCCGAAUGGGGAAACCCAGUGCAAUCCGUUGCACUAUCGUUAACUGAAUACAUAGGUUAACGAGGCGAACCGGGGGAACUGAAACAUCUAAGUACCCCGAGGAAAAGAAAUCAACCGAGAUUCCCCCAGUAGCGGCGAGCGAACGGGGAGCAGCCCGGAGUCUGAAUCAGCUUGUGUGUUAGUGGAACGGUCUGGAAAGUCCGACGGUACAGGGUGAUAGUCCCGUACACGAAAGCACACUUGCUGUGAACUCGAAGAGUAGGGCGGGACACGUGGUAUCCUGUCUGAAUAUGGGGGGACCAUCCUCCAAGGCUAAAUACUCCUGACUGACCGAUAGUGAACCAGUACCGUGAGGGAAAGGCGAAAAGAACCCCGGCGAGGGGAGUGAAAAAGAACCUGAAACCGUGUACGUACAAGCAGUGGGAGCCUCUUUAUGGGGUGACUGCGUACCUUUUGUAUAAUGGGUCAGCGACUUAUAUUCUGUAGCAAGGUUAACCGUAUAGGGGAGCCGAAGGGAAACCGAGUCUUAACUGGGCGUUAAGUUGCAGGGUAUAGACCCGAAACCCGGUGAUCUAGCCAUGGGCAGGUUGAAGGUUGGGUAACACUAACUGGAGGACCGAACCGACUAAUGUUGAAAAAUUAGCGGAUGACCUGUGGCUGGGGGUGAAAGGCCAAUCAAACCGGGAGAUAGCUGGUUCUCCCCGAAAGCUAUUUAGGUAGCGCCUCGUGAACUCAUCUUCGGGGGUAGAGCACUGUUUCGGCUAGGGGGCCAUCCCGGCUUACCAACCCGAUGCAAACUACGAAUACCGAAGAAUGUUAUCACGGGAGACACACGGCGGGUGCUAACGUCCGUCGUGAAGAGGGAAACAACCCAGACCGCCAGCUAAGGUCCCAAAGUCAUGGUUAAGUGGGAAACGAUGUGGGAAGGCACAGACAGCCAGGAUGUUGGCUUAGAAGCAGCCAUCAUUUAAAGAAAGCGUAAUAGCUCACUGGUCGAGUCGGCCUGCGCGGAAGAUGUAACGGGGCUAAACCAUGCACCGAAGCUGCGGCAGCGACGCUUAUGCGUUGUUGGGUAGGGGAGCGUUCUGUAAGCCGUUGAAGGUGUGCUGUGAGGCAUGCUGGAGGUAUCAGAAGUGCGAAUGCUGACAUAAGUAACGAUAAAGCGGGUGAAAAGCCCGCUCGCCGGAAGACCAAGGGUUCCUGUCCAACGUUAAUCGGGGCAGGGUGAGUCGACCCCUAAGGCGAGGCCGAAAGGCGUAGUCGAUGGGAAACAGGUUAAUAUUCCUGUACUUGGUGUUACUGCGAAGGGGGGACGGAGAAGGCUAUGUCAGCCGGGCGACGGUUGUCCCGGUUUAAGCAUGUAGGCGGAGGUUCCAGGUAAAUCCGGUACCUUAUUAACGCUGAGGUGUGAUGACGAGGCACUACGGUGCUGAAGUGAUAAAUGCCCUGCUUCCAGGAAAAGCCUCUAAGCAUCAGGUAACACGAAAUCGUACCCCAAACCGACACAGGUGGUCAGGUAGAGAAUACCAAGGCGCUUGAGAGAACUCGGGUGAAGGAACUAGGCAAAAUGGUGCCGUAACUUCGGGAGAAGGCACGCUGAUGUGUAGGUGAAG